GCGCAGGUGGAGCGCGUCGGGCCCCUGGAUCCGGGGAAACGGCCAGGGUUGCGGGAGUCUCUUCACUCUCGUCUCAAAGCCAUUUUGUUCCGCUGCCGCUGCCUCUACGGCCAUAAAUGCCCAGAGAUUAGCAGAGAAGCUCCGAGCCCAGAAACGGGAACAAGACACAAAGAAGGAGCCGGUGUCCACAAACGCUGUUCAGCGGAGAGUGCAAGAAAUAGUGCGGUUCACACGGCAGCUGCAGCGAGUCCACCCCAACGUGCUUGCUAAGGCACUGACCCGAGGAAUUCUCCACCAGGACAAGAACCUUGUGGUCAUCAAUAAGCCCUACGGUCUCCCUGUGCAUGGUGGCCCUGGGGUCCAGCUCUGCAUCACUGAUGUACUACCUAUCCUGGCAAAGAUGCUUCAUGGCCACAAGGCAGAGCCCUUGCAUCUGUGCCACCGGCUGGACAAGGAAACCACAGGUGUAAUGGUGUUGGCUUGGGACAAGGACAUGGCACAUCAAGUCCAAGAGUUGUUUAGAACCCGUCAGGUGGUGAAGAAGUACUGGUAUGAGGCCUGCUGAUGGCAGUAGAGGUGGUAUAAGUGGAGGCAUUUCUUUCACCUAUUUAUCCAUUAAAAACAGAAACUCCCAUUAAUAGAAGGCACUGCACUAUGACCUGCGAGAUUAUAAAAAAUAUGUGAAACAGCUUUGGUGCUUAGAAUAUUAAGUCUGAUAGAACAGUGGUUCUUAAUUCUGGUAUACAUCAAAAUUAUCAAAAAUUAAUUAUACAAGCAUGGGGUGGACAUGGUGGCUCACGCCUGUAAUCACAGCACUUUGAGAGGCAGAGGUGGGAGGAUCACUUUAGGCCAAGAGUCGGAGAACACCCUGGGCAACAUAGUGACACCUUUUCUCUAUAAAAAGUAAGAAGUUAGUCCGGUAUAGUGGCACAUACCUGUAGUCCCAGCUACUUGGGAGGCCAGGGUGGGAGGAUCACUUGAGCCCAGGAGUUUGAGGUUACAGUGAGCUAUGAUCACACCACUGCACUCC
RNAcentral lists this small RNA (1030 nucleotides) under Pan troglodytes (chimpanzee). Its description in RNAcentral is "retained intron". Lineage: Eukaryota; Metazoa; Chordata; Mammalia; Primates; Hominidae. The record is from RNAcentral.